UCAUAAGUACUCGUACAUACAUUGUGGGAUUCGUAAACACAUAGCACGCGAAACACACACACAUUGUGGGAUUCGUACACACAUAGCAUGCGAACCACACGCAAUUGUGGGAUUCGUACACACAUAGCACGCGAACCACACACAUUGUGGGAUUCGUAAACACAUAGCACGCGAAACACACACACAUCGUGGGAUUCGUAAACACAUAGCACGCGAAACACAAACACAUUCACCAAAUGUGUGUGUGAAUUGUUUUACGCGCAUUUGCAACGUGCUUCCAAUUACAAAUUCCCACUUACGAAUGUGUGGAUCGUUUUGAUACCCGUCAUGCGCAACUGAGAAGAACACAUGCAUUUUUUUAACUGGAGCCCGUCUUCAGCCAAUCAGACGUCUUCUUCUUAAACAGCCAAUCACAAGGGCUGGGCUGUUUCGUUACGUCCCUGCUGUGCGCCUUCAAGUCCGGUGUACUGAGUGACAAGUGACAAAUGGGGAGCUUUUGUAAAAGUAGGAGCCCCGUUUUUGACAGCUCAACUCGACCGCGGGGACUAUCGAUGCAAGCUGAAGACGUCCCAUCCAUUUUGAGUGGGAGGACCUCCCAUGCACUUCAAAUGUAUUGGAUGUCAACUGGUGAAAAACUCAUUGAACCGCUCAGCAGAGGGAUGAUGAGAGCAAGAUUAGAUGUCUAAUACUGUACUAUAUGUGGCACAUUUUUAACAGGCUUUUUUUCCGCUAAAUAAAUCUUUUUAAGAUUACUUUCUCCAUUUCAAGCCUAUUUGAAAGUCAUACUUGGGAAAAUUCAGACUUCUUAAUGUAUGAUUGUGAUGUCUAUGCUUAAACCAAUUUAAGACCAUUUUAAAAGGAAAAAAAUAGACAUUAUAAGCCUGUUAAAAAUGCUACCUACAGUGACAGUAUUUAAAGGAUGGUAGUCUAUUACGGAUAUAAAAAAAUAUAUUUUUUGAAAGACUUGGAGCAACAGAGCUUUCUUGCCAAAUGAAUCACAUUUGAUACACUUAGGAUUUAGAACUCUUUCCUCAAAAAAAAAAAAAAAAAAAAAUGGAUGCAAGUCAACUCAUGCAUCUGCAUGUUCCAUGAGAAAAACAGGAUUUAACAAGGAAAAUAGAUAUUAGAGCGCUUAUUACACAUUUUUCUUUACAAAUUUGGAAAAAAAAAGGUUUAAGACCUUAUUUUUCACAUUUUGUGAUUCUCUGACAAUUGCUUCAUAUUGCAGGCAUUAAGGGGUUAAGACCUGCCACAUGAAUUUUACUACCUUUUUAAACACUUUUUUUUAUUGCGACAAACCUAAUAAGUGAUCAAUGAUGGCAAGAGAGGAUAAAGCGCAGCAGCAAAUCCUCAGAUCUGUUCUUUGGAUGCCUUUGAAAGUAAAUAGUGACAUUGAGAGCAAUCAGGAGUUCAAUUAUGUGAGGUGAGGAGACCAAGUAAGUUUUGAGACAUUUUUUAAAUUUAAAUAGACAUCUCAGACUCCCAGCCUGUAGGAGGGCACAGGCUAGAUCUCCUCGAGCCUUCAGAACUUCGGGAAGGUGGGUCUGGUUGUGCCUGAGAUCUCCAUUGGCCAUAUACUCUUCCGCAAACUGAAAUGGCAUUUUAGGCAUUCUGUUACAUAUCAGUGCUAAACAACAACAGCAGCAAAGUUUUACUGCAGAGACUCCGAAAUCUUAAAAUCAUUACCUUUAAUGUGAAAACCCCACAGCUACUGUUGUUCUGCUGCUUGUUAUGGGCCACAGUUUUGGUAGUCCAAGUUUCUAUUUGGAACUCACGGCCCGCCAACCUCAAGAAGUUCCUAAUUAUUGUUUUAUAAGCAAAACAAUGAAGAUGAACAUUGAACUAUUAACUUCCAUAUUAACAUAAUACUAGGAAUUUAAACUUUCUGAAGCGGUUACCUCCAAUUCCGCAAGAUUUUGCUCAUAUUUGUCCUCGUCACUCAAGGGAUCGUUGAUCACCAGUGUUCUCUUAGAAAUGUGGACAAUCUAUAAAAGGUUAGUUCCUUUGUGUAAUUCUGCACAAUGACAGAUUUAUGUAGUUAACUUACUAAUGAAAUUUAACUUCUGUAUGGCAUCAGCUAAAUUAAUAGCUAUAUAUAAUACAUUCCAGAAUCGGUAGGUCUUAAGAAAAUAUAAGAAACCCACUAACCACUAAAAUCCAAUGAGCGCAUACAGGACAGGACAGGACAAAUACACUUUUUUUUUCAACAGGGAAUUUCCUCUGAAGAACAUACAAUACCAAAUUAUUGUUAUUUUGGGUUACUGGCGUUAAAAUAAUAUAGCUAAAUAUUGGCAUGAAAUGGAUUACCUUUCUAACAGGCUGAAAUUUUCCCAAAAGCAGACUCCCAGCUACCACAGCAGAGAGUUGGUGAAUGGGCUCCUGUUAAAAAAAGGGGUAACAACAUUACAACUAUACUCCGGCAAAAAAUAAAUGCAUUGAGAAAAACUAUAUCCAGCACUUGGCUGCUGCCUUUCAAUGAGGAUAUGCAUGUAUGCAUCAAAUACUUGCAUAGCAAAAUAAAAAAAUUGGCAAAAGGCAAGAAUCUUUGUUAUUUGCUAAACACUUAUUGCUCCCACUGACUUCAUCAGACAGCCAGCCGUUGCCUUUUAGCGUAUGAAAAGAUGUGUCAUAUAAUUUAUACGGUCCAACGACAGCCUCCACCUUGCCUUGAUCCUCUGCAGCCCACAGUAAUUUAACUGAAAACACAACAUUGUUAAAUCAAAAAAGUUAUUAUUUACGGCACUUGACCAGAUGACCAUCCGGUCAAAAUUAUCUACUGAAUAGGCCAAACCACCAAACAAAUCCUGUCGGUCGUUCACCAAUUUUGUAAGAGCUGUACGAAGUAGAAGGGUACAAUUAGAUAUACAUUUUAGAACACCAACAACAAC
Corythoichthys intestinalis (scribbled pipefish) is the source of this 2888-nucleotide long non-coding RNA. RefSeq lists it as uncharacterized. The record is from RefSeq and is a predicted model, not a curated record. NCBI's taxonomy places the organism in Eukaryota, Metazoa, Chordata, Actinopteri, Syngnathiformes, Syngnathidae. The transcript is spliced from 2 exons.